AUGGGUUUUGGAUUGAAAGGAAUUUUUAUUCUGGCUAUUUUACAAGGUGUCCAUUGUGAUAAUGUUCAGUUGUUGGAGUCUGGGGGUGAUUUGAGACACCCUGGAGAAUCUCUUUGCCUUUCUUGCAAAGUUUCUGGAUUCACCUUAAGCAGCUAUGACAUGCACUGGAUCCGCCAGGCUCCAGGGAAGGGGCUGGAAUGGAUCUCAGUUAUUUGGUAUGAUGGUGAUACAAACUAUGCAGACUCUGUGAAAGGCCGAUUCACCAUCUCCAGGGACAACAGCAAUAGCAUGGUGCACCUGCAAAUGAACUCCCUUAAAGUUGAGGACACAGCCCUGUAUGUGCAAGAAACACAGUGA
Non-coding RNA from Sarcophilus harrisii (Tasmanian devil), 357 nucleotides. Lineage: Eukaryota; Metazoa; Chordata; Mammalia; Dasyuromorphia; Dasyuridae. The record is from the annotation of a RefSeq genome assembly.